This 443-nucleotide ribosomal RNA is filed under the name uncultured bacterium. Its description in RNAcentral is "partial 16S ribosomal RNA". It matches the Rfam family "Bacterial small subunit ribosomal RNA", at positions 338 to 795 of the family's 1533-position model. The record is from RNAcentral.
CCUACGGGUGGCAGCAGUGGGGAAUAUUGGGCAAUGGGCGCAAGCCUGACCCAGCAACGCCGCGUGAAGGAAGAAGGCUUUCGGGUUGUAAACUUCUUUUCUCAGGGACGAAGCAAGUGACGGUACCUGAGGAAUAAGCCACUGCUAACUACGUGCCAGCAGCCGCGGUAAUACGUAGGUGGCAAGCGUUAUCCGGAUUUACUGGGUGUAAAGGGCGUGUAGGCGGGAAAGCAAGUCAGAUGUGAAAACCAUGGGCUCAACCUGUGGCCUGCAUUUGAAACUGUUUUUCGUGAGUACUGGAGAGGCAGACGGAAUUCCUAGUGUAGCGGUGAGAUGCGUAGAGAUUAGGAGGAACACCAGAGGCGAAGGCGGUCUGCUGGACAGCAACUGACGCUGAGGCGCGAAAGCGUGGGGAGCAAACAGGAUUAGAUACACUGGUAGUC